AUAAGUUGCAUCUUUGUUACAAAAUUCUCAGAAUAAGAAUGGUCAUUGUAUAACAAAAUCACACGUAUUUUCAAUUCAUGCUCUGUAUCAGCAUUGUAUUACCCUUCCAAAUCAAAAUAAAAAAAACAAACAAAACAAAAAUAAACCAAAAAUCGUCUUUAUCUUUAAACGGAAUGCUCAAAUCAUCAAAAAGAAAACAACAAUGAUACAAUGUAUAUAUCGAAAAGGGACCUUACUGCUAUUAUUCUGUGGUUACAUGUAGUAGCGACUUUUAUGUUACUCAUUUGUUCGUUCACAGAAAUGAGUGUUCUUGUGUUUGUCAUGUUUGUUUGUGCUGUAUUUCUGUCAUGUUUGUUGUUAUUUUUAGUGAUGUUUUUUUAAUAUUGCUAUAUACGCAGUUUAUUUAGCUAACCAUUAAUCCUGAUUCAACCCACC
This 435-nucleotide long non-coding RNA is filed under the name Mytilus galloprovincialis (Mediterranean mussel). Lineage: Eukaryota; Metazoa; Mollusca; Bivalvia; Mytilida; Mytilidae. The record is from RNAcentral.